Small nuclear RNA from Protopterus annectens (West African lungfish), 102 nucleotides. Lineage: Eukaryota; Metazoa; Chordata; Ceratodontiformes; Protopteridae. The record is from RefSeq and is a predicted model, not a curated record.
GUGUGUGUGCAGCACAUAUUUAAAAUUGGAAUAAUACACAGAAGAUUAGCAUGGCCCCUGUGCAAGGAUGACUCACAAAUUUGUGGUGUGUUCCAUAUUUGU